ACUACGGGUGGCAGCAGUGGGGAAUAUUGCACAAUGGGGGAAACCCUGAUGCAGCGACGCCGCGUGAGCGAUGAAGUAUUUCGGUAUGUAAAGCUCUAUCAGCAGGGAAGAAAAUGACGGUACCUGACUAAGAAGCCCCGGCUAACUACGUGCCAGCAGCCGCGGUAAUACGGAGGGGGCAAGCGUUAUCCGGAUUCACUGGGUGUAAAGGGAGCGUAGGCGGCGGUGCAAGCCAGAUGUGAAAGCCCGGGGCUCAACCCCGGGACUGCAUUUGAAACUGUGCUGCUAGAGUGUCGGAGAGGCAGGCGGAAUUCCUGGUGUAGCGGUGAAAUGCGUAGAGAUCAGGAGGAACACCAGUGGCGAAGGCGGCCUGCUGGACGAUGACUGACGUUGAGGCUCGAAAGCGUGGGGAGCAAACAGGAUUAGAUACCCCAGUAGUC
RNAcentral lists this ribosomal RNA (440 nucleotides) under uncultured bacterium. Its description in RNAcentral is "partial 16S ribosomal RNA". It matches the Rfam family "Bacterial small subunit ribosomal RNA", at positions 338 to 795 of the family's 1533-position model. The record is from RNAcentral.